UCGCGGAAGGCUGCGACGCCGCGA
Molecule: small nuclear RNA, 24 nt
Filed under: Arabidopsis thaliana (thale cress)
Lineage: Eukaryota; Viridiplantae; Streptophyta; Magnoliopsida; Brassicales; Brassicaceae
Description: snRNA_07989
Source: RNAcentral